This 90-nucleotide non-coding RNA is filed under the name human gut metagenome. Its description in RNAcentral is "TPP riboswitch (THI element)". It matches the Rfam family "TPP riboswitch aptamer (THI element)", at positions 8 to 91 of the family's 105-position model. From Rfam's summary of the family: Vitamin B(1) in its active form thiamin pyrophosphate (TPP) is an essential coenzyme that is synthesised by coupling of pyrimidine and thiazole moieties in bacteria. The previously detected thiamin-regulatory element, thi box was extended, resulting in a new, highly conserved RNA secondary structure, the THI element, which is widely distributed in eubacteria and also occurs in some archaea. The record is from RNAcentral.
CUUCGGGGUGCCGGACGAUCCGGCUGAGAUUGCGCAGAACCGUGCGCUGACCCGCGAACCUGAUACGGAUGAUACCGGCGUAGGAAAAGA